GAUAUCAAGGGAAUCCGAGCAAAGCUCAUUGGAUUGCGGUCAAGAAUAUACAUAAGUACCUUCGGAGGACCAAAAAAUGGUUUUUAGUCCUCGGAGGGAGUGAUGACUUAAAGGUGUGAGGGUAUAGUGACGCCAGUUUCCAGACCNGUCAAGAAUAUACAUAAGUACCUUCGGAGGACCAAAAAAUGGUUUUUAGUCCUCGGAGGGAGUGAUGACUUAAAGGUGUGAGGGUAUAGUGACGCCAGUUUCCAGACCGACAGGGACAAAUACCGUUCGCAGUCAGGCUGGGUCUUUACCCUUAAUGGAGGAGCAGUGACUUGGAAAAGUUCCAAACAAGAAACCGUAGCUGAUUCAACGUGCGAAUCAGAGUACAUUGCAGCGAGCGAAGCGUCAAAGGAGGCGAUGUGGUUGAAGAACUUCAUUGGUGAUUUUGGAAUUGUGCCUGCCAUAAAGGAGCCUACGGAAAUUUUCUGUGAUAAUGAAGGAGCGGUUGCCUUGACCAAGGAACCGAGGGAUCAUGGUAGAUCUCGACAUAUUGACAGAAAAUAUCACUUUAUUAGACAUCAAGUAGAAGAAGGACACCUCGUAGUAAAGAGGGUAUCGUCGGAGGAUAACCCAGCAG
This 622-nucleotide long non-coding RNA is filed under the name Lactuca sativa (garden lettuce). RNAcentral's name for it is "long non-coding RNA (LSAT_LNC009458)". The record is from RNAcentral. Lineage: Eukaryota; Viridiplantae; Streptophyta; Magnoliopsida; Asterales; Asteraceae.